Molecule: long non-coding RNA, 699 nt
Filed under: Gossypium barbadense (sea-island cotton)
Lineage: Eukaryota; Viridiplantae; Streptophyta; Magnoliopsida; Malvales; Malvaceae
Description: long non-coding RNA (GBAR_LNC020341)
Source: RNAcentral
AAUUGAGAAAAUUAGAUUAAUUGAGGGGUUAAUUGAGAAAGGACCGAAUUGUAUAAACUGUGAAAUUUGGGGCAAAAUGGAAAUCAACAUUUUGCACUAAAGCAGUUUUGGACAGCAGCAGUAGUGUAACUUUGAAAAAUCACCAAAAAUUGUAGAGAUUGAAUUAGAGGAUGAAUAAAAUAUGAAACUAAAGCUUAUUGAGUCUAGUUUCUUAUAAAAGAAAUGAUGUGAGCAAUAGAAUUGUAAAUCAUGAGAUAUAAUAGAUUUUGUGAGACAAGGUCAGAAUGAAUUCGGGUUCCCCUGUUCUGACUUUGGAAAAUCAUUAAAAAUUGUACAAAAAUGAUUAUGAGUUAUAGUUUAUAUGGUUAGAAUCCUUAAUGAGUCUAUUUUUAGAAGAAACAAGCUAAAACAUCAUCCGAAUUCUUUACAAUGAGAUAAUUAAUUUUUAGUGAAGAGUGGUCGGAACUGUCAGACAGCGAAAUAGGGGAAACUUUAAAGAAUAAACUGUACUAUUUGGCUGAACCAAAAAUUAUGAAAAUUUUAUGGUAUGAAUAUAUGUGAGUCUAGUUUUAGGGAAAAUUAACGGAUCUUAAUUUGGAGCUCUGUAGCUCCGGAUAAAAAUAAUUUAGUGACUCUGACUCGGAUAAACAGCUUUGAAUAUACAUGUUAGUGAAUAUUGAAAUUAUGGUUAAUGUUGUU